RNAcentral lists this ribosomal RNA (870 nucleotides) under uncultured archaeon. RNAcentral's name for it is "bacterial SSU rRNA". It matches the Rfam family "Archaeal small subunit ribosomal RNA", at positions 47 to 922 of the family's 1478-position model. The record is from RNAcentral.
AGCCAUGCGAGUCGAGAGUCUUAGGGACUCGGCGUACCGCUCAGUAACACGUGGGUAACCUGCCCUAUGCUGGGGAAUAACCUCGGGAAACUGAGAAUAAUGCCCCAUAGUCCACCAUGCCUGGAACGGUUGGUGGAUGAAAGCUCCGGCGGCAUAGGAUGGGCCUGCGGCGUAUCAGGUCGUAGGGGGUGUAACGUACCCUCUAGCCAUCGACGCGUACGGGUGUUGGGAGACAUAGCCCGGAGAUGGAUUCUGAGACACGAAUCCAGACCCUACGGGGUGCAGCAGGCGCGAAAACUUGGCAAUGCGAGAAAUCGUGACCAGGGAGCUCCAAGUGGCUGGGGUAAGACCCAGUCUUUUCUUGACUCUUCAAAGGUCUUGGAAUAAGGGGUGGGUAAGGACGGUGCCAGCCGCCGCGGUAAUACCGGCGCCUCAAGUGGUAGUCGAUUUUAUUGGGCCUAAAACGUCCGUCGCCUGUUUGGUACAUUCGUGGGUAAAUCAACCAGCUCAACUGGUUGAAUUCUGCGAGCACGGCCAGACUUGGGACCGGGGGAGGUGUGGGGUACGCUCAGGGUAGGGGUAAAAUCCUGUCAUCCUGAGCGGACCACCUGUUGCGAAGGCUCCACACUAGAACGGAUCCGACGGUCAGGGACGAAGCCUAGGGGCACGAACCGGAUUAGAUACCCGGGUAGUCCUAGGUGUAAACGCUGUGGACUUGGUGUUGGGAAGGUUCCGAGCCUUCUCAGCGCCGAAGCGAAGGUGAUAAGUCCACUGCCUGGGGAGUACGGUCGCAAGGCUGAAACUUAAAGGAAUUGGCGGGGGAGCACCGCAUCCUGAGGAUUGUGCGGUUUAAUUGGAUUCAACGCCGGA